Molecule: ribosomal RNA, 420 nt
Filed under: Triticum aestivum (bread wheat)
Lineage: Eukaryota; Viridiplantae; Streptophyta; Magnoliopsida; Poales; Poaceae
Description: partial small subunit ribosomal RNA
Source: RNAcentral
AUGGAUAGUAGUCUCCGUAUUAUUUUCUGGAACACACGCGGCCUCAACUACCCGACGAAGCGUAGCGCCGUCCGUUUAGUCAUAUGGACCGCUCACCCCUCUGUGGUCUGUUUGCAAGAAACUAAGCUCGCUGAUGUUUCCCCUUACUUGGUUGCCGACUCCCUUGGGCACGAGUUCUCCAGCUUCUACCACCUUCCCGCUGAUGGCAUGCGUGGAGGCAUCAUCCUCGCAUGGCGCCCCUCCGAGAUCUUCCUUACCAACCCCUUCGUCGGGGCCCACUUCGUCGCGGCCUGCGCCACCAUCCCAGGCUCCGACUCCCAUUGGUGGAUCACGGGCGUCUAUGGCCCCCAGGACGAGGCGGGCAAAGCCUCCCUCCUCGCUGACCUCUCUAACUUCCGCGCCACACGGAUUGGCCCCUGA